This 203-nucleotide ribosomal RNA is filed under the name uncultured bacterium. RNAcentral describes it as "partial 16S ribosomal RNA". It matches the Rfam family "Bacterial small subunit ribosomal RNA", at positions 524 to 724 of the family's 1533-position model. The record is from RNAcentral.
UACGAAGGGGGCUAGCGUUGCUCGGAAUUAUUGGGCGUAAAGGGCUCGUAGGCGGUUUGUCGCGUCGGGAGUGAAAACUCAGGGCUUAACCCUGAGCCUGCUUCCGAUACGGGCAGACUAGAGGUAUGCAGGGGAGAACGGAAUUCCUGGUGUAGCGGUGAAAUGCGGCAGAAUAUCAGGAGGAACACCGGUGGCGAAGGCGG